Long non-coding RNA from Diprion similis, 817 nucleotides. RefSeq lists it as uncharacterized. The record is from RefSeq and is a predicted model, not a curated record. Lineage: Eukaryota; Metazoa; Arthropoda; Insecta; Hymenoptera; Diprionidae. The transcript is spliced from 2 exons.
CACCAUUUUUUAUUCCCUCUAAUCUAUAAGACAGUUGUCAAUUUGUCAUAAUUUCAUUUCAACGAGUAUAGGAAGUGAUGGAUGCUUUUCAGCAAGAUAGUUGUAAUCUAAUCGACUCUGGUACUCAACCGCACGUGCUUCAGGGUAAGUUAUAUAAGACAAUGCGAACGAAUUGCGUAUUCGACAAUACGGAUUUCCACUCCACCCGAAGAUGUCGACCGAUAGUACGCAGGGAAUAUUCAGCGAAAAUGCGGGGCCUCAACGGAGAUCUCGUCAAAUAAUUUUCGGUUGGGACCGGUUCAGUUUCUCGACCGUGCUUGCACUUGCAGGGUCCUUUGUCGUUUGGGGUGUCGUCUACUUUUCGCUCUACGAACCCGGGGAGAUCGAGCCUUGUCACUGACAGCAGGAAGUAAUGUGAGAACGAGAAGAAGGAUGGAUUUUUCUUGCACGGUUAUUCAACGCCCGGAAGUCACGAUACCGACUUUAAUCGAGAUUCGACUAUCUCUGACGCAGGCGGGCAGUUUCCAAACCAAAGACCAUCGACCAGUGAUAAUUCAUCGAAAAUUUAAUCCUCUUCUCAUCCCCUCGACGAACUCGGCACGAAAAUGGAUCAUGCUUUAGGAUUAAGAUGCGACGAAAAUUUCUCGGAAGACAAAUGCGCGAUAAUAUACGGAAAUGGAGUUAAUUGAAACCCUUGAAACACUUGAAACACAAUAUACGUAAGACCAAACUCCAGCACGCCGUAUUAUUCACGGAUUUGAAUCUUUUGACUAUUGUUAAUAAACGCAGGACUAAAGUGAAAUAAGAUAUUAACGAA